CCCAUUCAUCUAGGUUUAGCAUUAGUGUCAAUGGAUAAAGACAAACAGGGACAGGUAUACGCACCCAUUCAUCUAGGUUUAGCAUUAGUGUCGAUGGAUAAAGACAAACAGGAACAGGUAUACGCACCCAUUCAUCUAGGUUUAGCAUUAGUGUCGAUGGAUAAAGACAAACAGGAACAGGUAUACACACCCAUUCAUCUAGGUUUAUCAUUAGUGUCGAUGGAUAAAGACAAACAGGAACAGGUAUACGCACCGAUUCAUCUAGGUUUAGCAUUAGUGUCAAUGGAUAAAGACAAACAGGAACAGGUAUACGCACCCAUUCAUCUAGGUUUAGCAUUAGAGUCAAUAGAUAAAGACAAACAAUAACAGGUAUACGCACCCAUUCAUCUAGGUUUAGCAUUAGUGUCGAUGGAUAAAGACAAACAGGAACAGGUAUACACACCCAUUCAUCUAGGUUUAGCAUUAGUGUCAAUGGAUAAAGACAAACAGGAACAGGUAUACGCACCUAUUCAUCUAGGUUUAGCAUUAGUGUCGAUGGAUCAAGACAAACAGGAACAGGUAUACGCACCCAUUCAUCUAGGUUUAUCAUUAGUGUCGAUGGAUAAAGACAAACAGGAACAGGUAUACGCACCGAUUCAUCUAGGUUUAGCAUUAGUGUCAAUGGAUAAAGACAAACAGGAACAGGUAUACGCACCCAUUCAUCUAGGUGUAGCAUUAGUGUCGAUGGAUAAAGACAAACAGGAACAGGUAUACGCACCCAUUCAUCUAGGUUUAGCAUUAGUGUCGAUGGAUAAAGACAAACAGGAACAGGUAUACGCACCCAUUCAUCUAGGUUUAGCAUUAGUGUCGAUGGAUAAAGACAAACAGGAACAGGUAUACGCACCCAUUCAUCUAGGUUUAGCAUUAGUGUCGAUGGAUAAAGACAAACAGGAACAGGUAUACGCACCCAUUCAUCUAGGUUUAGCAUUAGUGUCGAUGGAUAAAGACAAAA
Molecule: long non-coding RNA, 991 nt
Organism: Nematostella vectensis (starlet sea anemone)
Lineage: Eukaryota; Metazoa; Cnidaria; Anthozoa; Actiniaria; Edwardsiidae
Exons: 2
Source: RefSeq, a predicted model, not a curated record